This 109-nucleotide non-coding RNA is filed under the name Aeromonas molluscorum. RNAcentral's name for it is "Glycine sequence". It matches the Rfam family "Glycine riboswitch aptamer". From Rfam's summary of the family: This family represents the bacterial glycine riboswitch. Glycine riboswitches usually consist of two metabolite-binding aptamers domains with similar structures in tandem. The aptamers cooperatively bind glycine to regulate the expression of downstream genes. Lineage: Bacteria; Pseudomonadati; Pseudomonadota; Gammaproteobacteria; Aeromonadales; Aeromonadaceae. The record is from RNAcentral.
GGACGAUACUCUGGAGAGACCCGUUUAAUCGGGCGCCGAAGGAGCAAGGUCUUGUUUAUCAAUGAUAAAUAGACCGGAAACUCUCAGGCAAAAGGACAGAGGGGAUGGG